AUAUUUACCUGGCAGGGGAGACACCAUUAUUAGGAAGGUGGUUUUCCCAGGGGAGGCUCAUCGCACUCCAGAUGUGCUGAUCCCUGCACUAGAUUCCUGAUUUCCCCAAAUGCAGGAAAUUUGACUGCAUAAUUUGUGGUAGUGGGGGUAGUGCAUUCAUACUUUCUCCUG
This is a small nuclear RNA of Nycticebus coucang (slow loris), 171 nucleotides long. RefSeq annotates it as U1 spliceosomal RNA. Lineage: Eukaryota; Metazoa; Chordata; Mammalia; Primates; Lorisidae. The transcript has a single exon. The record is from RefSeq and is a predicted model, not a curated record.